RNAcentral lists this transfer RNA (66 nucleotides) under Psilopogon virens (great barbet). RNAcentral describes it as "tRNA-Ser". The record is from RNAcentral. Lineage: Eukaryota; Metazoa; Chordata; Aves; Piciformes; Megalaimidae.
GAGGGGAGGUAAAACCAACAAGAACUGCUAAUUCUUACCUCUGGGUCUUAAACCCCAGGCCCCUUA